Long non-coding RNA from Octopus sinensis (East Asian common octopus), 174 nucleotides. RefSeq lists it as uncharacterized. The transcript is spliced from 2 exons. The record is from RefSeq and is a predicted model, not a curated record. NCBI's taxonomy places the organism in Eukaryota, Metazoa, Mollusca, Cephalopoda, Octopoda, Octopodidae.
UAUAUAUAUAUAUAUAUAUAUAUAUAUAUAUGUGUUGAAACACGUGGUUGGAUGUACAAAAGAUAAAGUAGAAUGUAAAAACUACCGAAGAUUUGUGUUAUAUGGUUAAAGAAUGUAUUUAAAUCGUUAUAUAAGAAAAAUGUUACAAAAUUUUGUGUAUAAUAACAUUUUGGA